This 492-nucleotide ribosomal RNA is filed under the name uncultured bacterium. Its description in RNAcentral is "partial 16S ribosomal RNA". It matches the Rfam family "Bacterial small subunit ribosomal RNA", at positions 29 to 507 of the family's 1533-position model. The record is from RNAcentral.
AGUGAACGCUGGCGGUAGGCCUAACACAUGCAAGUCGAGCGGCAGCACAGUAAGAGCUUGCUCUUACGGGUGGCGAGUGGCGGACGGGUGAGGAAUACAUCGGAAUCUACUUUUUCGUGGGGGAUAACGUAGGGAAACUUACGCUAAUACCGCAUACGACCUACGGGUGAAAGCAGGGGAUCUUCGGACCUUGCGCGAUUGAAUGAGCCGAUGUCGGAUUAGCUAGUUGGCGGGGUAAAGGCCCACCAAGGCGACGAUCCGUAGCUGGUCUGAGAGGAUGAUCAGCCACACUGGAACUGAGACACGGUCCAGACUCCUACGGGAGGCAGCAGUGGGGAAUAUUGGACAAUGGGCGCAAGCCUGAUCCAGCCAUACCGCGUGGGUGAAGAAGGCCUUCGGGUUGUAAAGCCCUUUUGUUGGGAAAGAAAAGCAGCAGGUUAAUACCCCGCUGUUCUGACGGUACCCAAAGAAUAAGCACCGGCUAACCUCGUG